Molecule: unclassified non-coding RNA, 358 nt
Filed under: Hevea brasiliensis (rubber tree)
Lineage: Eukaryota; Viridiplantae; Streptophyta; Magnoliopsida; Malpighiales; Euphorbiaceae
Source: RNAcentral
AAAUUAUUUGAUUAACUAACAAAAACCAAUGUUUAAAUUUAUAACAAUCACUUUUGUUAUUUAAAAAAAGUUCGCUUUGCAUUUUUGCUUUUUAUACUUUUCUCAUAUUAAGGGAAAUUCACAUAUUUAUUUCUCAAACAUGUUUUCUUAUUAUCCAAGUCUCAAAGAAAAAUGAAACACCCCCUUGGUAAUUGAGCUUAACUUCCAUCAAAAUAUCAAACGCAAAUGUGUAAAUGGCAAUUGGUCGAGGGAAAAUAUGUAAUUGACGCAAAUAAAGCAUUUUUAACAAUCUUAAAUCUGUUUCUUGAUAAAGCACAUUUUCCUUUGUGUUGGUUUUUAAACUAUUUGUGAAGUCACA